AUCCCUGAUGCUGUGCCGCCAAGUGUGAUUCUGUAAAUAGCCAGUAUCCAAGCAUUGCAGUUGGGUGUGGUGGGGGUGGGGUGAGUGCGUUUAGGUUUUCUGUGUACCUGUCUGUCUGUCUAUCAGUCUUUCUUCGUUUUCUUUGCCUUUUUUUGACCAAGUCUCGUAUAGCCGACACUGCUCAGGAACCGGUUAUGUUGUUGAGAUCUUCCUGCCUGCGCUUCUCAUACGGAUGUAUUCACAGAAGAAGACAGGUCGGAAAGUGACAAAGCUUUAUCUGGGGUGACGAGAGACUCACUAACAGAAGGUGGAAGAGGAUUAAAAAGUGCUUGCCUGGGAGGCGAUUCUGAGUAUAAGUAACUGGCGCUGAGGUCUGAAAAGAAAGGUUUGUGUUGCUCUCAGAUCUGGUCAGAGAAGCUCCUUCUGGAAGUGGGUUCAUAGCUAAUCAAAGUGCUAAGAAUAAGUAAUGAUGAGUGUUCGAUUGUUCACGGAUCAUCCGUGUCAACCCUCACCUACUCCAAGGCUCAAGGAACGUCAAAAACACAAGAUAAAAAGAAAGCAAGAGGAUGGGUAGGAGAGCCAUUGCACCUAUGAACCUGGAACUGUGCUUACCUGCAUACGACCUGAACAGCCAGAAUUCCAGCAUCAACCGGGGACUGGUUCCUGAGACCCGUACCCCUAGCUGCAGAGUUAUUGGUAGUGGAAGGCUGCUGAAGGAGAGUCACUUUUCUUUGGAUGUUUGAUGCUGGUAAGCUACCCAGAUCCAAGCAAAUGAACCCACAGCCAUAUACAUAUGGACAAUACAAAUCCAUUUGGAUCCCAUGAGUUAUUAAAAACAAAGGGCAUGAAUUUGGCAGGGAACAUGUUAGGGUUCUCAGAGAGGAGCUAGAGAAAGGUAGUAACGGGUGAAUAUGGUAAAAAUACGUCAUUUAAAUAUUAAAAAUCCUAAUACAUGCAUAUUUUUUUUCAAAGAAUAAAAAUCCUGGCACUCAGCAGAAAGGAAAGAGAAGAGAUAAGCCUGAAUUUAAAAAGUGAUUGUGUGAUCUGACAAGAGUCCAUGAAAUGGAGAGGGGGAUGUCCCCAUCACAGGUGCAGUUGUACCUUUCUUGGCCAAUACCCUAUAUGUAUUAUGUAAUAUGAUGGUGUGUCUCUACCAGUGUGAGUUUCAGAGCAGGGGGGAAAUCUACACUAGCUGGAAAGAGAGUGAACAGGAUCUUGCCAUUACCCUCAAAUAACAAGAACAAUCGCUUGGGGAUUUACUGUAGUAAUGCAAAGAAGAGGAUCAGCUUGUAUUUCCUUCAGGUUAGCAUGCCACAAGCGUAUCAUCGUGUAGGAGCUUUAGAAAUGAUUAGAUAUUUGAUUGCAGGUCUUUUUUCUCACAGUCAAUACCAUCUUUCAUUUGUGACUUUAUGUGUGUUUGUGUACACACCAGAGAAUGUGUGGGAGACCUAGUGCACCUGCCACUGUAUGUACAGGUUAGAAAACAAUCACGGACGUCAGUUCUUGCCUUCCAUCUUGUUAGAGGGAGGAUCCUGUUUUGUUUGAUUCUUUGCUGUUGCACUGUCUGUGCCAGGCUAGCUGGCCUGGCACCUCUUAAGGAUCCCUCCUUUCUCUACUCUCAGUCUCACUGGGAUUACAGAUCGCAUUACUACAUCUGGCUUUAUAUGGGCUUUGAGGAUUCAGACUCUGGGCUUAGGUGGACCCUUAUGUGGCAAGUCCUUUACCCACUGAGCAAUCCUAUGACUUGACUUACCAGUUAUAGCUGUCAAGUUUUUAACUUUUUUAAAAAAUACAUCUCCAAUAUUUUAUUUGCAUACCUUCUUAUAAAACCUUGACUUUAUCCCCGCCCCUAUAUUGAUCUAGUUCCAAAUCUUUGUGUCAUUUAUAGAGUCAAAGCAAUCAACUUCAUUUUUUAGUUUAUCUCUGGAGGAAGACACUAUAAAAAAGAAUGUUUUUAGAAUUCAUGCUUUCAGUUUUGUUUUCCAGUUUUAAAAGGUUAACUCAUUUAAUAAGGACCACAAAAAAGUAUGUUCUUAGGUCUGAUGACAAUUUAGUAGCUUCCUGAAUUUGUUAGCUUUUCUCUUUUCAGUGGGACAUGCUCUUGAGGUAAUGCUAUUUAGAAUAUCUGCAUCUAAGAAUUUCCAUAUGUUCUUCACAGAGGCUCAACAUCCUGCCAGGUCUCCCUGAAUUCUCCCUGGAGACGAAGUAUGUGCAGUCUCCUCUGACAAAGACUGGGCCCCAAGUUGUAAGAAAAGGUUCACUUCCAGCCAAGUAAAAUAACCGUUCCCACAAAUUGAGCAACAUAAUAAAAAGGGAAAGAGAUGGCAGCUUAGAUGAGAACUCUAGGGAGAGAGACUGAUUUCUGCAGUUAGAAGUGCUAUCAUGUCAAAAUUCAUGCUGUAUCUUGGUCAUCCUUAACAGUCUAUAAUACUGCUAUUAAUUGUUAAUAGGAGCAAAAGGAAAUAAUUGGUUCUGUUUUAAUAUCCAAGAGAGAAGGUUUACAGGGUGGUGAUAAAAUAUUGAAGCAAAUAUUUUAUAGUGAAGCAAGCCAUUGUUUUUAUUUGUUAGUUGAUUUGUCAUAAAAUUUCAUUUCUGUAUGUGCAAGCUAAAAGCAUCCAAGUUGAAGUGAUGUCUUCAGGCUAUUCCUCCUAUUUUUAAUAAUUUUUCAUUUUGUCUUAGUUUGAUUACUUGGACAUUAGUAAGCCACCCUUAUUAAAAUAUUAUUGGCACUGGUAUGAAUCUUAGUUUGAGAGUCCUUGCCUGAUAUACACAAGACCUUGCGGUUUAUACCUGCACCAACAAGGACCAGUGGUGAACAGCUAACAUUGCCACACUCAGGAGGGAGCUGCAGGAGCAGCAGGGGUUCAAAGUGAUCCUCUGCCAUACUGUGAGUUCAAGACCAAUCUGGGAUAGAUGAGGGUUUUUUAAAACAAAACAUAUCAGUAGUGUACUUGAGGCUCUGAGGCCUAAGGCCCUGCGUUCAACACAGAUGCACACACACAUGUACACGUGCACACACAUACACACACACACACACUCAUUAUGACACUGAGAAAGGCAAUGACUCCUACUAAAAAUAAUCUUCCAACAACACAUUUUUUUAUUGCUGUGAAUUUUAUUUAUUUAUUUAUUUAUUUACUGUCAAAGCUAUGCUUUGACAGCCAUGCUAUUAAUUCCAGAAAUGUAGAAAGUAGAAUCAUGUUACAAGGAAGAGAGGGCAUUAUAGGUAUGAGCUACCUCAUCCGGCUUCAGUAUAAACUUUCUACAUGUGUUCAGUCACUUAAUGUCCUCAGUUGUCUCAGAGGCGUUCGUAUCUAGGCUCAUUUCAUAGAUAAGGAAACUGAGUGACAGCCAGGGUAACUCAUUGUAGAGUGUUAGUUGUGUGUUGAUUCAAACCUAGACCGAGUCCAGCCCACUCCUAGUGACUGGAUCGCUGACUCUUGUAUUUGUCCUCUCAGGGGUGCUCCCCUGUUGUCUGCCAUCUUCCCACCACUGCAGGCUGGGCUGUGGAUCGCCUACUGGCUUAGGCUAUUGUUAUCACCUAGAAUUUGGAAUCUGGGAGGUGUCUCUGUUCCCAGCCUCCGCUGUCCCCUCCCCCACAGUGGUUUAGCAAGUGCAGGUUGUACAGGUCCAUGCAAAUUUCUCUGGUAAAGAGUUGGAGCCAUUUCACAAGGGUAUUUAUUUGUUUUACUUUAUCUUGUCUGUCAAAAGAGAAGGAAGGCAAAUGAGGAGGUAGACCCUGAUGAGACAGUCCCCUUGCAAUACUGUCAAGAGGGGACUGGUAAGACUCCUGGGGCCAGCGAAAUGACUCAGUGGGUAAAGGCCCCAGAACAGAAAUGGUGGAAGAGAGAACUGACUCCUACAUGCACACUGUGGUAAGUGCACUCCCUCCUCAUACAGUAGUGAGUGAGUGAGGAAGGAAGUAAAUAAUAAAAUAAAUAAGUAAAUAAAUAAACAUAAAUAAUGAAAAGUGCCUUGCCCAUACGCCUUCUAGGGAACUUUCUUCUGUGUCUCCUAAUAGUCUCAGGUGGAACUUCAAACCUAGGGCCUCUUAAUCUGAUAAUCUUCUAGUAACUGUGGGGGCUUCCUGUCCUUUACAAUGUUAAUUACAUUUCUGUCAUAAAUUGUAUGUGUGCUGUGCUUGUUUCUUUGGUUGUUUUUUGCGCAGUAGGUAGGUUUGGUUCUUUAUUGCUUUUUGAAAGGAUCUCCUCUAUCCCAGGCUUGUCUUACACUUGCUAUGUAGCCAAGGAUGGCCUUGAACCUCUGGUCCUUCUACCUCUAUCCUCUUCAUGCUGGCAUUAGACGUGAGCUGCCAUGCCUUAUAUAUGCAGAACUGGAGAUUGAACCCUGGGCUCCAUGAAUGCUACUUUAACCUAGGCGCUUACUAUCCCCCUUGGUACUUAACAGGGUCUCGCCAAAAUGUUAUUGGAUUAAAAAGCUUGUAAUUCCUAAUGGCCCUCGAGCAACAUAUUAAUGUUAUUAAAGGGCAUUCUGGCAUCACUUAGCGUUGGAUCUGCUAGCCCUCCUCCUCUGAGUUCACGCUCCUGCCUCUGUGUAGCACUAGCUGACCUGGAACUCAUUCUAUACACUAGGCUGACUACCAACCAACUCAGAGGUCCUCCUGCCUCUGCCUCCUGCGUGCUGGAAUUAAAGGUGAGAGCCACCAACUAGGUAACUAGAAGUCCAUUACAUGUUCUCCAAAUUCUAUGAAUAAAUUAGGUUGCAUGGUAAAUGGAAGUUUGCAGAUCAAGUUAAAGUUGAUAAUCAGCUUGUUGUGUUUUGUUUUAUGUUUUAAUGAUACAGUCUUACCAGGCAGAUCAAGAUAACCUUCAACUAUGUAGCCAAGACUGAGCUUGAAUUCAGUAUGUAGCCAAGAUGGGACUUAAAUAUGUUUUGAUCCUCUUGCCUCUGCCUCCUACAGUGUUUGGGUUGCAGGUAUGAACCUCAAACCCCAGCAGCUAAACAUAUUUUAAUAAAGGAGGAUAGGUCUGGGCAUGAUACUGCAUGUCUGUAAUGAUGGCAUUUGGGAGGUGGAGGUAUCAAGAAGACAGCCUGAGCUAUUGGAUGAGCUAGGGGGUGAGGGGGAGUCAGAGGACCAGACAUUGCUACAAGGUAGUGUCUUCUAUAUGUAUGGUGAAGCUACACCCAUAAAAUCUCAGCAAUGUGGUUGCCCAAGCAGACAUGAAAAUUGAUACCACCAGUUAACAUACCAUUGUGGACUCGGAAGGUUAUAUUUAUAAAUAAUAUAUAUGUAGCAACAAGAAUUAAAGAAUAAGAAGCCAUGAAUUUAAGAGGGAGUAGGGAGGAAUUAGGGGGAGAAAGAAGUGUGGAAUGAGAUAUAUGUGCUCAUAGAUGGAAUUCUAAAAGGAAUGCCAUGAAAGUGAGAGAUUUGCAAUGUGCUCAUAGAUGGAAUUCUAAAAGGAAUGCCAUGAAAGUGAGAGAUUUGCAGAUGAGAAGGCUUGCUGCUGUGUGGGUUAACAGAGGAAGAAAAAUCAAACCAUUAUAUACAUCUAUGAAACUGUCAAAGAACAAAAUUAAUAAAAGCAAUAAACAGAAUGAAAACAAUUAGGGGCAGGAGAAUGUAGGGGAAUGCUGCUGGAUUCCUGUGGGCCCAGUAGAACCACAGGGUUCCUUGAGAGUAGAGGACACAAGGCUGGGCAGGAUGGCAAAUAAUCCCAGCACUGGAGAGGCAGAGACAGUCAGGUCUCUGUAAAUUCAAGGCCAGCUUGAUAUACACAGUGAGCUCGGGGACAGCCAGAGCUACAAAGUGAUAAAAAACAAAGGGGGUGGGGUGACAGAGUGAGAGCCAAAAAGAUAUAAAGAUACAGCAAGGAAAAAACACAGCCUGACAGAGCUGGUGAGCCUCUUCCCUAAUCUAGCAGAUAUGGGUGGCCUCUCCGUCUUCAAAAAUGGAAGAAAAUGCAUACUUUGCCUCAAACCUUGAGAAGGUAUACAUGCCUGCUGACAUCUUGACUUUAUUUAGCCUUUUGAGUUUCAUUUUAGUCCCUGUUUCCCCAAACUAUAAUACAUGGGUAUUGUAUAAACUACCAAACCUUCAGCUGCUGUUACGGCCUCAAUAGCAAACUAAUAUACUAUGAUUGUUUAGUUAUCUUUAAGUUAUUUUACUCUGUCAAAACAUAAAAAAAAACAAAAAAACCUGAUUACCAACUUUAAUUUGAUCUGCAAACAUAGUUCCGUUUACCAUGUAACAUAAUAUAGUCACAGAUUUUGAAGAACAAGUAAUGGGCUGCAUUCUAUAUUCAUAUACAGAAAGAUUUUAAUUUUUUUCAUGGUUUCAUACUUAUUAUUUCAUGGUUAUUUCCAACAUGUAGGCUAUAUACACAGUACUGCUGACAUAUGGGUUUCUCAGGGUGGCAGGGGUAGGGAGUGGGGUGGGGAGCAACAGUCAAGACUCGCAGUUCAACUGCCAAACUAUGGGCUCUGAACUCUCUUUCUCCGUACAAAAAAAAAACUGAGUCACAUGAAAGUUAAGCUGGUUUUUCCCCUCAGAGUUAUUCAACCAAAUAAAUUGGGGCAGGAUGUGAACCCAAGUAUGUGCUCUAAAAGCCUGGUGCUUCACUCAGCUCCCCUGAUGAACCCUGGUGUCAUACUAAUUUCCUUUCUUCCUAGUAGAAAGUGUCCCCCAAACCAUGAUUUCCCUCAUCAACAUGUUAAUGUUAUUACCAUUCCCCUUGAGCUAGUUUGCUUUUAUUUUUUUAUUUUCAAAUUUUAUUAUA
Mus musculus (house mouse) is the source of this 6737-nucleotide long non-coding RNA. RefSeq lists it as uncharacterized. The record is from RefSeq and is marked validated. The transcript is spliced from 3 exons. Lineage: Eukaryota; Metazoa; Chordata; Mammalia; Rodentia; Muridae.